RNAcentral lists this ribosomal RNA (254 nucleotides) under uncultured bacterium. RNAcentral's name for it is "partial 16S ribosomal RNA". It matches the Rfam family "Bacterial small subunit ribosomal RNA", at positions 524 to 776 of the family's 1533-position model. The record is from RNAcentral.
UACGGAGGGUGCAAGCGUUAUCCGGAUUCACUGGGUUUAAAGGGUGCGUAGGCGGGUAUAUAAGUCAGUGGUGAAAAGCUCCGGGCUUAACUUGGAAACUGCCAUUGAUACUGUAUAUCUUGAAUGUCGUUGAGGUAAGCGGAAUGUUGCAUGUAGCGGUGAAAUGCUUAGAUAUGUUACAGAACACCAAUUGUGAAGACAGCUUACUAAGCGAUAAUUGACGCUGAGGCACGAAAGCGUGGGGAGCAAACAGG